This 387-nucleotide ribosomal RNA is filed under the name uncultured soil bacterium. RNAcentral describes it as "SSU rRNA". It matches the Rfam family "Bacterial small subunit ribosomal RNA", at positions 593 to 977 of the family's 1533-position model. The record is from RNAcentral.
UGUGAAAGCCCAGGGCUCAACCCUGGAAGUGCAUUUGAUACUGCGAAGCUUGAGUGUCGGAGAGGUUACUAGAAUUGUUGGUGUAGUGGUGAAAUACGUAGAUAUCAACAGGAAUACCGGAGGCGGAAGGCGGGUAACUGGCCGAACACUGACACUGAGAUCCGAAAGCGUGGGGAUCAAACAGGAUUAGAUACCCUGGUAGUCCACGCCGUAAACGAUGGAUACUUGUUGUUGGAGGUAUUGACCCCUUCAGUGACGAAGCUAACGCGUUAAGUAUCCCGCCUGGGGAGUACGGUCGCAAGAUUAAAACUCAAAGAAAUUGACGGGGGCCCGCACAAGCGGUGGAGCAUGUGGUUUAAUUCGAUGCAACGCGAAGAACCUUACCUA